GUCCCUGCUCCAGCUGGCCCAGUCCCCGGGGGGCUCAAUCUGACAUUACUGUUGUUACUAUUGAACAUUCAUCUUGACGCGUUGCCAUUGUGCCAGGUUCUGAAUUCCAAUAUCUUCCCAGGGAAUGGGACUCCUCACCCUGGAAUCGCAGCUCAUUCAUUUCACCCCUUCAAGCUUCAUCUCCCCAUCACAAUGGUGCAGCGUGUGCUAAGCUGUCUGUCUGGGACUGUGCCCUUCUCAGCAAUAGGUCCUGUGUCUGCACUGUGCUCAAGGGGGGAGCCCCUCAACUCCAUUGGCUUCAGCACCUCUGCUUCUCACUGGGGCUCCUUCAGCAGGUCCCUACCGGCUUGGACCCUGCUGGAGACUUCGCCUCUUGAGAGCAAACAUCUGCAGUGACACAAGACAGCCUGUUUCAAACAAGCCAGAACACAAUGCUCCGGGACACUGGGUGAAAUAAUUUCCUGUUCCCACCGGAGAAUUCAGAGAGACAGAGUAUGUGCUUACAAAAGCUCAACAAAAUCCUGUUACCCAAGGGAUACAGAAGGGUCCAUUUGGAAAAAUUCCAAAUCCUGAAAGGAGUUACAUUCGCCAAUGUGUGAUCAGGCACUGCAUUGCUCUAACUCCGUGUUGGAGGGACACAGCUCUUCACCAAACAAGGCUUAUAGGAAGGGGCAUGCCUUCAAAAACCAGGACAGACUCAGCAUGACUCAGAGGAAGUUUGAAAUGAGGUGGGCUCCAUCCCUUUAACACAAAGUGUUUCCUCUCACCUCAGCUCCUAGAGUCAGCAUUUCUGUUGUCACCUAUGUAACAAGCAACACAGGGCUUGCUUGGGCAGGAGAGGACUAUGGGUCUGAAAUAAGCACUGCGCCUUGGAAUGAAGAACAGCUGAGAGGCUGUGGCACAGAGAUCUCUUGGUGCCAACUGGCAAAAUGUUCGCUGUUCUUUGCUGUCUC
Molecule: long non-coding RNA, 953 nt
Organism: Mauremys reevesii (Reeves's turtle)
Lineage: Eukaryota; Metazoa; Chordata; Testudines; Geoemydidae
Exons: 3
Source: RefSeq, a predicted model, not a curated record